GGCGCGGCGGCCGUUCCCAAGCGACGCUGGACUGCGCAGUCAUGCUCACCGCCGCCACAGAGGUGCUAGCUGCUGCGGAUGGCCCCGGGUCUGCGGAGCCCACGUGGGCCUGGAGAGAUGCCCCGAUCGCUACGCUGGUGCAGAGGAUCCAGCAGCUGCAGAAUGAACGCGCACAGGCCUUCCGCCGUCUGGACCAGUGAGCCAGCUGGGCUGGAGGAGGGGAGGGGCCCUGGGAGAGCUUGCCAAAGGGAGCUCACCGUCAGUACCUGCUCAGUGAUCUGCACCAUGACUUCCCGAGUUACCGGAGUGUCGUGCAUGAGGUGACCCAGGCCUUCGCCGCUGCCUCGCGCGAGGUACUGGCAGUGGAAGCGGAGCUGGCAGGGCCUCGAGCGCAACCGGUGCUCGCCCGCCACGUGCGCAACCUUCAAGAGCUAGAACAGACGCGCCUAGCCACCGUGGCGCUGCUGCAGGUGAUGGGGACACCAGGAGUGUCAGAACAGGACCCUGAAAAGUUGCACCAGCUGAAGAUAAAGGUAAUUAAAACCAUGGAGGCCAUCAGUGAGGUUCUGCAGGAACUCAGGUUUGAUGCCGAAUCUGCCGAGUGAGGGUGGCUCCCCAGGGACCAGAGGAAGACGGGAAAAGAGGCCCAUGGCGUCCGGCCCAGCCCUGACCGCCAGCUGGCUGAGGUCGUGCCCUGCUGGGCUGCCCUCCAACGCGCCUCACGCAAUAAAGAAUUCUCCCUCUGCA
Rattus rattus (black rat) is the source of this 747-nucleotide RNA transcript. It is a transcript of the gene named required for excision 1-B domain containing, with no coding region annotated. Lineage: Eukaryota; Metazoa; Chordata; Mammalia; Rodentia; Muridae. The record is from RefSeq and is a predicted model, not a curated record. The transcript is spliced from 5 exons.